RNAcentral lists this unclassified non-coding RNA (339 nucleotides) under soil metagenome. Its description in RNAcentral is "partial contains 5.8S ribosomal RNA, internal transcribed spacer 2, and large subunit ribosomal RNA". The stretch from base 1 to 120 matches the Rfam family "5.8S ribosomal RNA", at positions 35 to 154 of the family's 154-position model. The record is from RNAcentral.
GAUGAAGAACGUAGUGAAAUGCGAUACGUAAUGUGAAUUGCAGAAUUCAGUGAAUCAUCGAGUCUUUGAACGCACAUUGCGCCCCCUGGUAUUCCGGGGGGCAUGCCUGUCCGAGCGUCAUUGCUGCCCUCAAGCACGGCUUGUGUGUUGGGCUCCGUCCCCCCGGGGACGGGCCCGAAAGGCAGCGGCGGCACCGAGUCCGGUCCUCGAGCGUAUGGGGCUUUGUCACCCGCUCUGUAGGCCCGGCCGGCGCCAGCCGACAACCCAUCAUCCUUUUCAGGUUGACCUCGGAUCAGGUAGGGAUACCCGCUGAACUUAAGCAUAUCAAUAAGCGGAGGA